RNAcentral lists this ribosomal RNA (497 nucleotides) under uncultured bacterium. Its description in RNAcentral is "partial 16S ribosomal RNA". It matches the Rfam family "Bacterial small subunit ribosomal RNA", at positions 28 to 507 of the family's 1533-position model. The record is from RNAcentral.
GAUGAACGCUGGCGGCGUGCCUAAUACAUGCAAGUCGAGCGAACAGACGAGAAGCUUGCUCCUCUGACGUUAGCGGCGGACGGGUGAGUAACACGUGGAUAACCUACCUAUAAGACUGGGAUAACUUCGGGAAACCGGAGCUAAUACCGGAUGAUAUAUUGAACCGCAUGGUUCAAUAGUGAAAGACGGUUUUGCUGUCACUUAUAGAUGGAUCCGCGCCGCAUUAGCUAGUUGGUAAGGUAACGGCUUACCAAGGCAACGAUGCAUAGCCGACCUGAGAGGGUGAUCGGCCACACUGGAACUGAGACACGGUCCAGACUCCUACGGGAGGCAGCAGUAGGGAAUCUUCCGCAAUGGGCGAAAGCCUGACGGAGCAACGCCGCGUGAGUGAUGAAGGUCUUCGGAUCGUAAAACUCUGUUAUUAGGGAAGAACAAAUGUGUAAGUAACUAUGCACGUCUUGACGGUACCUAAUCAGAAAGCCACGGCUAACUACGUG